AUAAGCAUCCGCCCGAGAACUACGAGCACAAACGCUUAAAACUCUAAGGACUUGGCGGUGCUCUAACCCACCUAGAGGAGCCUGUUCUAUAAUCGAUAACCCACGAUUCACCCGACCACUUCUCGCCAAAACAGCCUAUAUACCGCCGUCGUCAGCCCACCUCCAUGAGAGCAUAACAGUGAGCUCAACAACCCACAAUCUCGCUAACAAGACAGGUCAAGGUAUAGCCCAUGAAGUGGAAGAAAUGGGCUACAUUUUCUAAAAUAGAAAAUCUUUUUAAACGGAAGGGGGCUUGAAAUCCGCCCCCAGAAGGUGGAUUUAGCAGUAAAGCAGGAUAAUC
This 340-nucleotide ribosomal RNA is filed under the name Deroptyus accipitrinus (red-fan parrot). RNAcentral describes it as "partial 12S ribosomal RNA". It matches the Rfam family "Bacterial small subunit ribosomal RNA", at positions 860 to 1353 of the family's 1533-position model. Lineage: Eukaryota; Metazoa; Chordata; Aves; Psittaciformes; Psittacidae. The record is from RNAcentral.